UUUUAAAUGACUUUUAUUUUUUCCAUGAUAGCUGGUUUAGAGUGUUCUGUCAAUUUUCUACUGUACAGCAAAGUGAACCAGUCACACAUACCUACAUACAUUUCUUCAAGUCUUUUUCUCACAUUACCCUCUAUCAGCUCCAUCAUAAGUGACUAGAUAUCGUUCCCAGUGCUAUACAGCAGGAUCUCACUGCUUAUCAGUUCCAAAGGCAAGAAUAUUUGUUUUUCAUACCCACCAAUAAACAGGGUCUUCAUGUAGCACCUAAUACUUUAUGAAGAGCCCAAGGAUAAAGGACACGCUUUUAUUUAUGUGCUACUGUAAAGAAAUCAAAAGCAAUAAAAAGGGGAUGGAAGAGAGUUCCUGUUUAGUGGGUAGGAUCUCAGUGUGAGAAGAGGAAAAAGUCGUGGAACUGCAGAGUGGUGAUGGCUGCACAACAAUACGAACGUGCUUCAUUCCACUGAACUGCACGCCCAAGAAUGGCAAAAACUGUAAAUCUGAGGUAUGUAUAUUUUAUCACGAUAACAGCAGGUAAUAAACCAUUUUUUAAAAAUCACACUAAAACUCUUUGUUGUUUGCAAAGUAAAUAACUGCAAGAUGCCAUCUCCUACCGCUCUUCAUUAUCUACGUAAAGUAGGCUGCUCUGCUAUUUAAAGGUGACCCUCGCUUUCAGUAAAAUCUGAAGUAAAAAGAAAAAAACUAAAUCUCAUUUUCCAUUUGAACAACUAGAUUCACGUGGUAAUGAUCAUCAAGCAAGCCCUGUAAAGUCAGAUGAAGUCUGAGAGAGCAAUGGAGACUGCUUCAUCCUACUAAAGUACUCACGGCAUUGACAUGACCUGAGUACAGCUCACUAAUAGGACCUAUCUGUUCAUGUGGGGGGAUCCAUGCAAAACAAGGGGGUGGGGGAGCAAUAAAGGGCCGAAUUCUAAAGCCUUAUGAUUCAACAUUAGUAUUUUUGGAGACUUCUUCCAAAACGCUUUGGAUGGUAAGCUCCAGGGGCACAGGAUUGGUCGCACUCUGCUUUGUUCAGAAUUUACCAAAUAACAAAAGAGAUAAGCUUCAAGGAUCUACUGCACAGCACAGGGAAUAUAGCCAAUAUUUUAUAAUAACUAUAAAGGGAGUAUAACUGUUAAAAAUCAUACAUCACUAUGUUGUACACCUGAAGCUUAUGGAAUAUUGUAAAUCAAUGGAACUUAACAAUAUUUAAACACUUUAGUAAGUAAAAGCAAUUAGCAAGUAACAGAAACGAGAGAAGGAAGGAAGGGGGGAGGGGGGCGGAGAAGGAAAACUAAUAGCUUUAUAAACACAACCAAACAGGUAUCCAGAAAACUUGGGAUCUGUCAAAUCUAAACUGGCAGUUUACCAAGUAGACUUGAUUAUAAAAAGCUUUUUCCCCACUAGAGCCAUGCUCAGCAGAUAUGGCAGCACCAUUAAUAACAUCUUACCAAUCUGUCAUCUGUUUGAAAGAAAUAAUGGGAAUUUAGACCAUUUUAGUAAAGGUCAUCACAGGCAAUUAAUCCGCAAACCCUGUGCUUGGGGAUCCUGCUUGCUAACCUUUAGGAUUUCCCCUAUAAGAUCCUUGUCUAGGUAGCGAAUGUAAUUUCAAACCUAUUGAACAAGAUUCCCAUUAUUGUCACCAGUAAUUAUUACCCUGAGCCCAGUCGUCUCAUUUGUAGUAUAUACGUCAGAAUAAGGUCACUAAAAAUGCUUUAUCUGUCUUUAAGAUGUAUAGAGGGCCUUUUUUUCCCCCCUUUUCCAACCUCUCUUGUUUUUUGCGGUUGUUAGAAAUAGUACUACGGUUAGAGUCACAGGAACGCAAAGGCAUGCUAUUAUUUGGUCAAAAGCUCCCAUCCUAUAUUCCCUUCACCUAAGCCUAAGGAAAGUAAUCACAAGAGGCCAUUAUUAGUCAUUUGAAUGCUAUAACUUUUAAUUUCCAGAGGUCAAUUACUUUAUAUCUUCCUCUGGGAGGUUUCCAGAUUAAGAUUUAAUUAAUCUUAUUCCUUUGACCAAAAGACGAAGCUCUUUUAGACCUAGAAAAAGAAGGUUUCUUAGUCUUCUCUGGUAAGGAGAAAACCUAUCUCCUGAAUCCAUCAGAGUCUUUCAAAAAGGAGAAUCCUGAAAGUGGAUUUUGACUGUUUCAAUUCUUAGAAACACAAAUAAAUAAAAGCCGUGAGUCUGAAGCUUAGAAAAUGAGACUUACCAGGUCACAUAUAAAAACCUAUAGCUGGAGUUCCUAUCGUGGCCCAGUGGAAACGAAUCUGACUAGGAUCCCUGAGGAUGCGGGUUCCACCCCUGGCCUCGCUCAGUGGGUCAGGGAUCCAGAGUUGCCAUGAGCUGUGUCGUAUGUCACAGACAGGGCUUGGAUCCCGCGUGGCUGUGGCUGUGGCUGUGGCACAGGCUGACAGCUGUAGCUCCAAGUUGACCCCUAGCCUGGGAACACCCAUAUGCAGCAAGUGCAGCCCUNAAAAAAAAAAAAAAAAAAAAAAAAAAAAAAAACCCUAUAGCUAACUAAAAAUAAAAAGAUAUCCUGCGAGCAACCCCCCGCUUCCAGGCACACCAGGUAAUAUCAUUUCAACAGGAAGCAUGAUGACUCCGUUUCACGAUGCCCUGAUAUGUAGUGACCCAACAGUGCCCUCUCCUCGUAGCUAAAUAAGUAUUUACCUCCAUGCAGCUUUCAUAGAAGUCUCCCUUCCCCAUUCCUUCACACAGCACUUCUCCAGGUUUUCUGAGAAGUCUAAAUGAGUCCAAAUCCAUUGCUCAGUGAUGAAUAAGCAAAUAGCGGUGCUUUAACAAUUACACAACAUACCAGGGCAAUAACUGUCUUCUAAAAGUAAGCUUUUUUUUAAUGGCAUAGUAUAUAUUUACUCAACAGAGAGUAACCAGGUCACCUGUCAAUCACUUCCACAUUUCUCUUACAGCUGGCCCUGAGUUUGAACUUAGAAAUGAAGCGUUUUGCAUUUGCUAUCUUUAACUGUUUCUGCAACGAAUUCUAAGAAAAAAAUACAGGGAGACGACUCAUCAAUAACCAACAUUACCUGAGAACCUACAGGGUUUAUAGGAUAGAACCAUGGUCUUGACAUCCAAAUAUCUGAAGCAUUAUUUUGUGGAAGAAGGAUUAGACUAUUUCCUUAAAAACCCAAAGGCUAGAACAGGCAAGGACAGGUAAGGCCUUUUAGGAGACAGAGUGUUUGUGCUGGCAGAGUGCUUUCUAAUAGGCAAUUUCAUUGAACGUGAAUGAUGAAGCACGUUUCCUCAAAAGGUGGAGAGUUCGGUAUUGCUAAAGGUCUAAAUGUUGGAAUGGACAAAAUUCAAGAUGCAGGGAUACUAGAGAAAGAUCGCAUCAGAAGACCGUGUUAGAAGAUCCUCAAGGUUCAUAGGAAAAUGGCUUAACACAGAAGUCAUUCUUACUGUUAUGAGCUCUCCAGAAAGACGGUUAAAAGCCCAGAAGGAGUUUACAGAAUAAACAAAUUUUACAUCAUGUUACAGGGGGACAUAAGGUAGGCUCCAAACAGCUAAAAGGCAAUGUCCAGUAAGGAGAGGUUGUACCUAAUAAUACCAAGACAAAUUACGGGCCAAUACAACCAUUUACCAAAGCAAAGACAGAAAACCCAGCUCCAGUCUGACAAGGGAAGGUAUUGUUUGGUUGAUUCAAUAGAGUCAAAAAGGUCUGAGGCAUUCUGUAACUCCCAAUGCUAUCCACAGUUCUGAAAUAAAAAGCUGUCUUCAAAAAACACACUGUGACAACAUGAAUGGCAAGUCUCCAUAAACUAUCUGCCAGUACACACUGUGGCAGAAACGAUCCCUUCAAGCCAACUCCUUAGCAAAUAGUUAUUUGGGGAAAAGCACAACGAUGUUUCAGCUGAAGCUUCACAAAGCCACGAAGCACAGGUUCGGCUCCCCAUGUAACUUCCCCUUUCCCUACCUGACGUACUACCAUAAAUUUUUAACAUAACAUUUUAAGGGCUAAUGAAAAAGUUGUAAGUACUGACUUGAGCAGAAGCUUCUUCUCACUCAGAGACGCUCUGUUGAUUAACAAGAAGAGUGUCAUUUGGGGGCUGAGAAAGAAUCAGAUAUUCAUGUGUUGUUAUCAAGUUAAUAAACCGUCAAGUGGCAAUUACUUAAGGGAACUUCAACAAAGAUUGUCAAAGAAAAACAAAGAGAGAGAAUUCACCUGUAAUUAUCUUAAGGCUUAAAAGUUAAUGCUUAAUCCUUUCAAUGUAAACAAUGUAAGAGGAGGCCCUGCAAGAGAAAGUGAUAAAAUUCCACUGAGGUAAGUAAGAACAGUGACCUCACACCAACCUCUUGGUGUUUGUUCCCUGCACAAACUUGGGAGCUGUAGUCACGGGCCUACACCACAGCCACAGCCAUGCCAGAUCCAAGCCAAGUCUAAGACCUACACCACAGAUCACAGCAACGCCGGAUCCUUUAACCCACUGAGCGAGGCCAGGGAUCAAACCUGCAUUCUCAUGGAUACUACAUAGGGUUUCGUUACCACUGAGCCACAAUGGGAACUUCCCAUCUCACUUAAUUCUUAACAUACAAAACCUUAUUUGUCUAAAUUUACAGGUACAGAACUGAAGACUCCAAGAGUUUAAGUUACUUAUAGCAAAGUCACAAGCUAGUCGUGGCAGAGCUGUAUCUUAAAAGAGGUCUGUUUUAUAGCCUUCUCCGCGCUCAUCAUCAUUCCCCUCUAGUGCCAUGCUCAUGCCUACAGGGACUAAAAUAUCACGUGGGGAUUAAAAUAAACAACUAGAAUCAAAUGUAAGGGGAGAACUGUAGUAGAGCCAUGACAAAGGUUUAAGAAUGGAUGAGCAGAGAGGGAUGGCUGGAGCCCAAGUGGGGAAGUAUUCACGGAGAAGAGGGAUCUGAAUGGGCCCCUAAAAGAACUGCCAAGAUUUCAACAGGCAAAGAGAGACAGAAUGCUGUUCCAAACAUAGAGGAGUUUGAAUAGAAUGCAUAAACAAAGAAAUGUAAAAUUGUAGGGCUUACUGGAGACCUGUGAAUUGGU
This 5005-nucleotide long non-coding RNA is filed under the name Sus scrofa (pig). Its description in RNAcentral is "lncRNA (ENSSSCG00045018944.1)". Lineage: Eukaryota; Metazoa; Chordata; Mammalia; Artiodactyla; Suidae. The record is from RNAcentral.